UACAGAGGGUGCGAGCGUUGUCCGGAAUCACUGGGCGUAAAGGGCGCGUAGGUGGCGACCCAAGUCGAUGGUGAAAGCUCGCCGCUCAACGGCGAGUCGGCCACCGAUACUGGGUUGCUGGAGCACUGUAGAGGCAGAUGGAAUUCCGGGUGUAGCGGUGGAAUGCGUAGAGAGUCCGGAAGAACACCGGUGGCGAAGGCGGUUCUCUGGCAAUGUUCUGGACGCUGAGGAGCGAAAAGUGUGGGGAGCGAACAGG
This 256-nucleotide ribosomal RNA is filed under the name uncultured bacterium. Its description in RNAcentral is "partial 16S ribosomal RNA". It matches the Rfam family "Bacterial small subunit ribosomal RNA", at positions 524 to 776 of the family's 1533-position model. The record is from RNAcentral.